CGGAUCCAGGACUUUCACUUGUCUGUUAACCAUACUUUAAAUUUACGCAGUAUAUAUCCUGGAGUACGUCCACACAUACAUACAUUCUAUCAAGUAUGAAAGUUACCACACCCAAACUAGAUAGGAUUAGCAUGUACAAUGCCAACAUGCAAAUUAAGGGCUCUACUCGGUGGCCCUUGACAUUUUGUUUGAGCCAUUUGCUUGCCGUGGGUUUAGGAGGCAUAAGGAAAUUAGUGUGUAUUCGGUGGUGAUCAGCAUUCAGCCUCAUCUUUUUUAUGGGCACUUGCCUGCAUCUAUCUUCAACCAAUUUGGCAUUUGUUCCAAUUCGAUAGCGUCAUGUGGUGUUACUGCAAAGGAAGGUACAUGGAAUCAAUGAAAUACAUAGAUGAUGAUGUCUCUUU
This 401-nucleotide long non-coding RNA is filed under the name Oryza brachyantha (malo sina). RNAcentral describes it as "long non-coding RNA (OBRA_LNC002644)". The record is from RNAcentral. Lineage: Eukaryota; Viridiplantae; Streptophyta; Magnoliopsida; Poales; Poaceae.